RNAcentral lists this small nuclear RNA (303 nucleotides) under Choloepus hoffmanni (Hoffmann's two-fingered sloth). RNAcentral describes it as "7SK RNA (ENSCHOG00000016100.1)". It matches the Rfam family "7SK RNA". Rfam says of the family: 7SK was discovered as an abundant small nuclear RNA in the mid-70s but a possible function has only recently been suggested. Two independent studies have found that 7SK RNA binds the CDK9/cyclin T complex (known as elongation factor P-TEFb). The record is from RNAcentral. Lineage: Eukaryota; Metazoa; Chordata; Mammalia; Pilosa; Megalonychidae.
GGGUGUGCGGGCAGCCUGGCUGAGACAGUCAUCACACCUUCAAUAGCCAGGCUAGACUGGAGUGGUCUGACUUGCUAGCAGCUGUCCUUCCUUCCCAGCUUCUCCAGGAUUCUCCCAAACUUGUGUCAUUGGCUGAAGCAGAUGGCCUUUCUACAGAGGGCAGCACCAUCCAUCGGCCAAAGGUCUAUGGGUAGCUGCAUUCCCGGUAGAACCUUGAAACAAGCUCAUUCUAUUGAAAGCCACUAGGUAGGAAGUUCCAGGGUCUAACGCCUGGCAGAGGGGAGCUGCCCUUGAUUCCUUGAC